CUCAGCAGGACAGCUGAACAGGCCCAGCCCUCUGCUGGGAGAUUCAUCUCUGUCAGCUUAGAUAAACCUGCUGGCCAUCACAGCAUUGGCACACACACACACCCUAUUCCUGGACAGGCAUGAUGAAGCUGUCCUAGCUUGCCUCCACUUGAAAAAGACAGGAGCCGUAAAUGAACACGAGGUUUCAUUACAGCUCCCCUUUUAAACACUUUGGAGGUGCAUCUGUGUGUGUGGUUUGUUUUUAAUUUUUCCUUUUUGCAAAUCACCUUCGUGCUUUUCAGGCAUAACCGUCUGCCAUCGCUCUCAGCAUUGGUCCUCGGAGAUGUCAGCUUCGGAAACAGAUGUCCAAGUGACCUGCCUCCAUUAACCAGAGCUCCUCCAGAGUAUAACUCAGCACCGCUCCAGACCCUGCCCAGCCUCCAGACAGCAGAACCAGCCCACCAUCAUCGCCAUCCCUCUGCCCAGAUGUGACGAUUUCAAAGCAGACUCGGAUUGUAACAGCGGGGCAACAAGCCAAGACUGGGUCUAUCUCCAUGUAACUCCUGCUGGAGGUGAGCCCGACAUCACCAGCUACAAGUAUGUCGGUAAGACAGCAGUGACCAUGAAGGGUGAAGUGAAAUGGGAC
Long non-coding RNA from Oreochromis niloticus (Nile tilapia), 625 nucleotides. RefSeq lists it as uncharacterized. NCBI's taxonomy places the organism in Eukaryota, Metazoa, Chordata, Actinopteri, Cichliformes, Cichlidae. The record is from RefSeq and is a predicted model, not a curated record. The transcript is spliced from 3 exons.